CUGUUAUCCCCGCGGUAACUUGUUAUAGAUCCUUUUUAGGGUUUUUUGUGUUUAAGAAAGAAAAAGAUUUGGUUUUUGUGCCGCCCCAGCUAAAAGAUUAUUUGAAGUUCGACGGGGUCUUGUCGUCUUCUCUUAAAAUUUAAGCCUUUUUACUUAAAUGGAAAUUUAAAGUAAUCAUUAUAAUAAAGAAUUCAACUCGUUAAUCCCUUCAUUCUGGCCUUUAAUUAAAAGGCAAAUGAUUAUGCUACCUUAGCACAAUAUUUGCGGCUAUUUAAGGUUCAUUGAGCAGGAAAUACUAAUUA
RNAcentral lists this ribosomal RNA (302 nucleotides) under Stasimopus sp. 32STAS01. RNAcentral's name for it is "partial large subunit ribosomal RNA". The record is from RNAcentral. Lineage: Eukaryota; Metazoa; Arthropoda; Arachnida; Araneae; Ctenizidae.